GGCGCGGCCAUAUUUGGCGAUUUCGGCGCCGCCGGAGCCCUGCCCGCCUCCGCCGGGAAGCCCGGCCCGGGGCAGCGCCAUCCCCGCCCGCCGCCGGGCCUGAGUCACGGCGGGCGGGGGGCGGAAGUAACGGACGGGGGGCGCCCGCCCGGCGCUCCUGGCCUUAUUUAGUCAAGGAGGCCGCCGAUUGGCGCGCGGGACAAAGGGGCGGCGGCCGGGCAGCCUCGGGGCGUAGGAGUGGCCCGGCGCCUCCGAGGGGUCGGGGCGGGAGCCGGGCGUGGGGGGCCUCGGAGCCUGGGGAGUCCCGGGACCGACGGCGGCGGGGAUGCGGGUCUGCCUGUCCCUGGGAUGCGGGCGGGCGGGCAGGGCGAGGCCUGGAGCCCGCGGGGCGCAGGGGGGCUGGACCGCGCGCUGUGAUUUUUCUGUUUUGCAGCGGGGCCUCGCCCAAGGUCGCGCGGGGCCUGUCCUGGAUAUGCUCCGGGAAGCCAGUGGCGCAGGACAGCCGCCACCCUUCUGGAACCAGUGCCGGAGAGGGCCGGGCAGCUGGGCCUGGGGAGGGGACCGCAUGGAUGGAGCUGGGGGUAGCUGGGCGGCCUCCGGAGCCGGGAGAGUCGGCAGCUGCACUUCCGCCAGAGUUUCGGCCCAUUUAGUGGAUACGACAACAGUGGCCCAGGGAAGUAUGGCAGAGCUGAGACUUAACCCAGGGCCUGCGCCCUCCACGGCCUGCGCCCUCCACGGCCUGCACUGCCCCACCUCCAGCUCCUUGCCCUGUUCCUCCCUCUGCACCGGAUCAGCCCCCGGACUCUGGGUCACCUCCACACCUGUUGACAGGGCCCCCCAGUCCCCACCGCCAACCACCUGGCCGGCUACUUGUCAGACAGACAUGGGAGCUUGGGCAUGGGUCCCCACCCCUAGCCUUUGCCUCUGUCAGUCUACCUGCCUGGAAUGUCUACUUUUUCUUUAUAUUUUAUUUUAUUGUAUUUUUGAGACAGUCUCACUGUCGCCCAGGCUGGAGCGCAGUGGCGCGAUCUUGGCUCGCUGCAACCUCUGUCUCUGGGGUUCAAGCGAUUCUCGGGCCUUAGCCUCCCGAGUAGCUGAGACUACAGGCAUGCACCACCAUGCCUGGCUAAUUUUUGCAUUUUUGGUGGAGACAGGGUUUCACCAUGUUGGCCAGGCUGGCCUGAACUCCUGACCUUAAGUGAUCCACUCGCCUAGGCCUUCCAAAGUGCUGGGAUUACAGGCGUGAGCCACCGCACCCAGCCUGGAGUGUCUCAUCUUCCACCACUAAAUGAAACGAUGGACCCUGAACAGAAAAAGGAACAGUGGUGGAAGAACUAGCAAAGCCUGCAGCCUUGAGUUUGGUCGUAUCAAGGUUAAUCUCUCAGUUAUGGCAGUUGUCCCAUGACCGUGUAAGAUGCCAGGUUAGGGGACACUGGGAAUAGAGCAUUGGGAAACCUUCCCACUGUCUUUGCAACUUUUCUGUAAGUUUAAAGUUCUCCCAUAAUAAAAAGCUAACUUGAA
RNAcentral lists this long non-coding RNA (1521 nucleotides) under Pan troglodytes (chimpanzee). RNAcentral's name for it is "long non-coding RNA NONPTRT006953". Lineage: Eukaryota; Metazoa; Chordata; Mammalia; Primates; Hominidae. The record is from RNAcentral.